This 496-nucleotide ribosomal RNA is filed under the name uncultured bacterium. Its description in RNAcentral is "partial 16S ribosomal RNA". It matches the Rfam family "Bacterial small subunit ribosomal RNA", at positions 28 to 506 of the family's 1533-position model. The record is from RNAcentral.
GAUGAACGCUGGCGGCGUGCCUAAUACAUGCAAGUCGAGCGAACGGACGAGAAGCUUGCUUCUCUGAUGUUAGCGGCGGACGGGUGAGUAACACGUGGAUAACCUACCUAUAAGACUGGGAUAACUUCGGGAAACCGGAGCUAAUACAGGAUAAUAUUUUGAACCGCACGGUUCAAAAGUGAAUGACGGUCUUGCUGUCUCUUAUAGAUGGAUCCGCGCUGCAUUAGCUAGUUGGUAAGGUAACGGCUUACCAAGGCGACGAUGCAUAGCCGACCUGAGAGGGUGAUCGGCCACACUGGAACUGAGACACGGUCCAGACUCCUACGGGAGGCAGCAGUAGGGAAUCUUCCGCAAGGGGCGAAAGCCUGACGGGGCAACGCCGCGUGAGUGAUGAAGGGCUUCGGAUCGUAAAACUCUGUUAUUAGGGAAGAACAUAUGUGUAAGUAACGGUGCACAUCUUGACGGUACCGAAUCAGAAGGCCACGGCUAACUACGU